Long non-coding RNA from Homo sapiens (human), 606 nucleotides. Lineage: Eukaryota; Metazoa; Chordata; Mammalia; Primates; Hominidae. The record is from Ensembl.
GUAAUUAAUGCCUGAAUGUUCAGCAAGUGAGUCGUGUCAAUAAAUGGCAUCUCAGACAUGCAGGUAAAUCGAAGAAGAAUGCUUAGGCUUCUAUAUGGAAGUGCUGCAAUCUUCAGUUAUUUUGCACUGCACUUCUCCUUGCUGCUGCCAUGUGAAGAAGGACGUGUUUGCUGCCCCUUCUGCCAUGAUUGUAAGUUUCCUGAGGCCUCCCCAGCCCUGCAGAACUGAAAAUGCCCACUGUUGUGCUGGUGGUGUGGAAUAAGGAACAUUGGAGAGAAAAAUCACCAGCAGAAGGAGGGAGCAAAGAAAUGUUCCCAGAACUGACUGUUUCUUAUUUAUACCAGUAUCAUCCUGGGGUAGCUGGCAAAGGAGACUUGCUCACCAGAAGCAUCUCAGGAAACUGCCCUGUAGCUUGAGCUCUGGUGCCUGCCUACAAUGGUGCUUAGCACAGAGCCACACUCACGCAUUUCUGGAAGGAAUGCAAGGCACGCUGUGGUAAGCAGGAUGACACAGCCACAGUCCACUCUGCUAAAGGGAUGCCGGGUCCUUGAAGAAGAAAUUCUGCAUUGCAUUGGAAGGCUUCUGGGAAGACCUAUGGUUUAACUU